Molecule: ribosomal RNA, 445 nt
Filed under: uncultured bacterium
Lineage: Bacteria
Description: SSU rRNA
Rfam family: Bacterial small subunit ribosomal RNA
Source: RNAcentral
AGAGCGAACGCUGGCGGCAGGCCUAAUACAUGCAAGUCGAACGGAUCCUUCGGGAUUAGUGGCGGACGGGUGAGUAACACGUGGGAACGUACCCUUUGGUUCGGAACAACUCAGGGAAACUUGAGCUAAUACCGAAUGUGCCCUUCGGGGAAAGAUUUAUCGCCAUUGGAGCGGCCCGCGUCUGAUUAGCUAGUUGGUAGGGUAAAGGCCUACCAAGGCUACGAUCAGUAGCUGGUCUGAGAGGAUGAUCAGCCACACUGGGACUGAGACACGGCCCAGACUCCUACGGGAGGCAGCAGUAGGGAAUCUUGCGCAAUGGGCGAAAGCCUGACGCAGCCAUGCCGCGUGAAUGAUGAAGGUCUUAGGAUUGUAAAAUUCUUUCAGCGGGGACGAUAAUGACGGUACCCGCAGAAGAAGCCCCGGCUAACUUCGUGCCAGCAGCCGC